RNAcentral lists this ribosomal RNA (424 nucleotides) under uncultured Flavitalea sp. RNAcentral describes it as "bacterial SSU rRNA". It matches the Rfam family "Bacterial small subunit ribosomal RNA", at positions 355 to 776 of the family's 1533-position model. Lineage: Bacteria; Pseudomonadati; Bacteroidota; Chitinophagia; Chitinophagales; Chitinophagaceae. The record is from RNAcentral.
UAAGGAAUAUUGGUCAAUGGACGCAAGUCUGAACCAGCCAUGCCGCGUGGAGGAUGAAGGUCCUCUGGAUUGUAAACUUCUUUUAUCUGGGAAGAAACCCAUGUUUUCUAAUGUGGUUGACGGUACCAGAUGAAUAAGCACCGGCUAACUCCGUGCCAGCAGCCGCGGUAAUACGGAGGGUGCAAGCGUUAUCCGGAUUCACUGGGUUUAAAGGGUGCGUAGGCGGGUUGGUAAGUCCGUGGUGAAAUCCCCAAGCUUAACUUGGGAACUGCCGUGGAUACUAUCAAUCUUGAAUAUCGUGGAGGUAAGCGGAAUAUGUCAUGUAGCGGUGAAAUGCUUAGAUAUGACAUAGAACACCAAUUGCGUAGGCAGCUUACUACACGAUCAUUGACGCUGAGGCACGAAAGCGUGGGGAGCAAACAGG